Molecule: ribosomal RNA, 273 nt
Filed under: uncultured bacterium
Lineage: Bacteria
Description: partial 16S ribosomal RNA
Rfam family: Bacterial small subunit ribosomal RNA
Source: RNAcentral
UACGGAGGGAGCUAGCGUUGUUCGGAAUUACUGGGCGUAAAGCGCACGUAGGCGGCUAUUCAAGUCAGAGGUGAAAGCCCGGGGCUCAACCCCGGAACUGCCUUUGAAACUAGAUAGCUUGAAUCCAGGAGAGGUGAGUGGAAUUCCGAGUGUAGAGGUGAAAUUCGUAGAUAUUCGGAAGAACACCAGUGGCGAAGGCGGCUCACUGGACUGGUAUUGACGCUGAGGUGCGAAAGCGUGGGGAGCAAACAGGAUUAGAUACCCCGGUAGUCC